GAUGAACGCUGACAGAAUGCUUAACACAUGCAAGUCUACUUGAAUUUGGGUUUUUAACUUAGGUUUGGGUGGCGGACGGGUGAGUAACGCGUAAAGAACUUGCCUCACAGCUAGGGACAACAUUUAGAAAUGAAUGCUAAUACCUAAUAUUAUGAUAAUAGGGCAUCCUAUAAUUAUGAAAGCUAUAUGCGCUGUGAGAGAGCUUUGCGUCCUAUUAGCUAGUUGGUAAGGUAAAGGCUUACCAAGGCGAUGAUAGGUAGCCGGCCUGAGAGGGUGGACGGCCACAAGGGGACUGAGAUACGGCCCUUACUCCUACGGGAGGCAGCAGUGGGGAAUAUUGGACAAUGGAGGAAACUCUGGUCCAGCAAUUCUGUGUGUGUGAAGAAGGUCUUCGGAUUGUAAAACACUUUUAGUUGGGAAGAAACAAAUGACGGUACCA
Molecule: ribosomal RNA, 439 nt
Filed under: Fusobacteria bacterium oral taxon 220
Lineage: Bacteria; Fusobacteriati; Fusobacteriota
Description: bacterial SSU rRNA
Rfam family: Bacterial small subunit ribosomal RNA
Source: RNAcentral